This 107-nucleotide small nuclear RNA is filed under the name Dasypus novemcinctus (nine-banded armadillo). The record is from RNAcentral. Lineage: Eukaryota; Metazoa; Chordata; Mammalia; Cingulata; Dasypodidae.
GUGCUCACUUCGGCAGCACAUACAUUAAAAUUGGAACAAUACAGAGAAGAUUAGCAUGGCCCAUGCUCAAGGAUGACACACAAAUUGGUGAAGCGUUCCAUAUUUUU